RNAcentral lists this ribosomal RNA (1089 nucleotides) under Escherichia coli. RNAcentral's name for it is "partial 23S ribosomal RNA". It matches the Rfam family "Bacterial large subunit ribosomal RNA", at positions 419 to 1514 of the family's 2925-position model. The record is from RNAcentral. Lineage: Bacteria; Pseudomonadati; Pseudomonadota; Gammaproteobacteria; Enterobacterales; Enterobacteriaceae.
GGGACACGUGGUAUCCUGUCUGAAUAUGGGGGGACCAUCCUCCAAGGCUAAAUACUCCUGACUGACCGAUAGUGAACCAGUACCGUGAGGGAAAGGCGAAAAGAACCCCGGCGAGGGGAGUGAAAAAGAACCUGAAACCGUGUACGUACAAGCAGUGGGAGCCUCUUAAUGGGGUGACUGCGUACCUUUUGUAUAAUGGGUCAGCGACUUAUAUUCUGUAGCAAGGUUAACCGAAUAGGGGAGCCGAAGGGAAACCGAGUCUUAACUGGGCGUUAAGUUGCAGGGUAUAGACCCGAAACCCGGUGAUCUAGCCAUGGGCAGGUUGAAGGUUGGGUAACACUAACUGGAGGACCGAACCGACUAAUGUUGAAAAAUUAGCGGAUGACUUGUGGCUGGGGGUGAAAGGCCAAUCAAACCGGGAGAUAGCUGGUUCUCCCCGAAAGCUAUUUAGGUAGCGCCUCGUGAAUUCAUCUCCGGGGGUAGAGCACUGUUUCGGCAAGGGGGUCAUCCCGACUUACCAACCCGAUGCAAACUGCGAAUACCGGAGAAUGUUAUCACGGGAGACACACGGCGGGUGCUAACGUCCGUCGUGAAGAGGGAAACAACCCAGACCGCCAGCUAAGGUCCCAAAGUCAUGGUUAAGUGGGAAACGAUGUGGGAAGGCCCAGACAGCCAGGAUGUUGGCUUAGAAGCAGCCAUCAUUUAAAGAAAGCGUAAUAGCUCACUGGUCGAGUCGGCCUGCGCGGAAGAUGUAACGGGGCUAAACCAUGCACCGAAGCUGCGGCAGCGACACUAUGUGUUGUUGGGUAGGGGAGCGUUCUGUAAGCCUGUGAAGGUGGCCUGUGAGGGUUGCUGGAGGUAUCAGAAGUGCGAAUGCUGACAUAAGUAACGAUAAAGCGGGUGAAAAGCCCGCUCGCCGGAAGACCAAGGGUUCCUGUCCAACGUUAAUCGGGGCAGGGUGAGUCGACCCCUAAGGCGAGGCCGAAAGGCGUAGUCGAUGGGAAACAGGUUAAUAUUCCUGUACUUGGUGUUACUGCGAAGGGGGGACGGAGAAGGCUAUGUUGGCCGGGCGACGGUUGUCCCGGUUUA